This 113-nucleotide unclassified non-coding RNA is filed under the name uncultured Rozellomycota. Its description in RNAcentral is "uncultured Cryptomycota sequence contains ITS1". The record is from RNAcentral. Lineage: Eukaryota; Fungi; Rozellomycota.
CAAAUCGAUGUGUUGGUUGUAGGGAAAAGUUGGGUCACACCAACAAUUCUCUGCAUACCAUAUCAUAUUUACGCUUGUUUUGUUUGACAGAGUAAUUUAUCCACAAAAAUAGA